UGACCUCGAUCAGGAGA
RNAcentral lists this ribosomal RNA (17 nucleotides) under Trichoderma harzianum. RNAcentral describes it as "partial 28S ribosomal RNA". The record is from RNAcentral. Lineage: Eukaryota; Fungi; Ascomycota; Sordariomycetes; Hypocreales; Hypocreaceae.